UAUCAUGCCAUCAUCCCGUCGCUUAGCAACAAGCAUCAUUAAAAACAGUAUCAGGAAGAAUGCCUGGAUUGGAAAGACUUGUCAUCUCCAGAUUUCUUUUUUCCAGAUAUGCGAGGGAAGGCAAACUAGGAGGUACCUUCAAUUUAGAGUUUUGAAGAACCCUUAAGUUGCUUCUAAAAGUUAAAGUGACUGCUGGAUGGCUUAAGUGAAGAUGAUUAAGGACAAAAUGACUUGACCCUCAGAGUGUGGUAAAAAUGACAAGACCAAAGGAAACAGGGCUAAAUGACUUGACCAGGAUAACACAGCUAUGAACCUUUCAUGACUUCAUGGAAUAGAGUUCCUCUUCCCAGGUGUUUGUGACAUACUAUUCCUGCUGAGUACGGCAAAACAGAGAAAUCUCAGUUCAAGGCUGCAUAAAUAGUUCCAAGAAAUCCAACAGGUUAACUCCCCUGUUCACAUUCUGGGGAGGAUAGAUUGUGUCUCUCGAGAAGAGCUUGAAAUCUGAUGUGCUGCUUUCAAUAAAUGUUCAUUUUUCCUCUUUGAUAA
Long non-coding RNA from Monodelphis domestica (gray short-tailed opossum), 546 nucleotides. RefSeq lists it as uncharacterized. The record is from RefSeq and is a predicted model, not a curated record. Lineage: Eukaryota; Metazoa; Chordata; Mammalia; Didelphimorphia; Didelphidae.